Molecule: long non-coding RNA, 327 nt
Organism: Meriones unguiculatus (Mongolian gerbil)
Lineage: Eukaryota; Metazoa; Chordata; Mammalia; Rodentia; Muridae
Exons: 3
Source: RefSeq, a predicted model, not a curated record
GGCUGUGACGUCUCAGGAACCAACACAGACAAGCUAUUACUUCAGCUACCUGACUAUGAGAGAUGCAAGACAGCUUCUUUCACUGUUCCUGAUGGAUGAUGCAGAUGUCCAGUGCUGAGCCAGCUGCAACCAAGCCAGUGAGCCACGUCAGUGACCCGGGAAUGAUGGCGUAAUCUGUUGCCUGAGUAUCUCAGGAGUGAUCCACCCUGUUCUCCAGAAAUCGAAAACAUCUUCUGUACGUGCUGUCUGUACCCUGGAGGUUGGGGGAAGGGAGCAUGUGACGGCCCUUGUCCUUGGGAAUGACAAGGGAAACUGAAGGACCCAGGG